CGCAUAUCAAUAAGCGGAGAAAAGAAACUAAGCAAGGAUUCCCCUAGUAAACGGGCGAGUGAAGCGGGAUGAGCUCAAAUUUAAAAAUCUGGCUGGUUUACUAGUCCGAAUUGUAGUUUAAAGAAGCGUUUUUCGGUGGCAGCCUGGGUAUAAAUCCUUUGGAACAGGGUAUCAUAGAGGGUGAGAAUCCCGUCUUUGACUCAGUGCAUGCUACUAUGUGAUACGUUUUCAAAGAGUCGAGUUGUUUGGGAAUGCAGCUCAAAAUGGGUGGUAAAUUUCAUCUAAAGCUAAAUAUUGGCGAGAGACCGAUAGCGAACAAGUACCGUGAGGGAAAGAUGAAAAGAACUUUGAAAAGAGAGUUAAACAGUGCGUGAAAUUGUUGAAAGGGAAACGCUUGACACCAGUCAUGCGAGCGGAAAAUCAGUCUUUUGCAGUGGGGAGUUGUGUGGGUUCGGACCGCAAGGCCGGCCUGCGCUGCAUCUCUGCUGUAAGUGAUGCACUUUUUCGUUUGCAGGCCAACAUCAGUUUCUUCUGCUGGACAAAACUCUUGAGAAGGUGGCAGCUUAGGCUGUGUUAUAGCUCUUGAGCGAUACAGUGGAGGGGACUGAGGUUUUCGCAGCGCGUGCUCUCGGGCAAGGCUGAUUGGGUGCUAUGGGAUCGUUCGGUGUACAAUGCAUGCAUUUUGCGCCGUGUCUUUUCUAUACUCGCUCAACUCGGCUCUUCCGCGCUUAGGAUGUUGGCUUAAUGGUUUUAAUCGACCCGUCUUGAAACACGGACCAAGGAGUCUAACAUAUAUGCAAGUGUUUGGGUGGCAAACCCAUGCGCGUAAUGAAAGUGAACGUAGGUGCGAUCCGCAAGGUGCAGCAUCGACCGAUCUUGAUAUUUUUUGGAUAGAUUUUGAGUAAGAGCAUAUAUGCUGGGGACCCCGAAAAGAUGGUGAACUAUGCCUGAAUAGGGGUGAAGCCAGAGGAAACUCUGGGUGGAGGCUCGUAGCGAUUCUGACGUGCAAAUCGAUCGUCAAAUUUGGGGUAUAGGGGGCGAAAGGACUAAUCGGAACCCAUCUAGUAGGCUGGUUCCCUGCCGA
This 1084-nucleotide ribosomal RNA is filed under the name Mortierella alpina. RNAcentral's name for it is "LSU rRNA". It matches the Rfam family "Eukaryotic large subunit ribosomal RNA", at positions 37 to 964 of the family's 3401-position model. Lineage: Eukaryota; Fungi; Mortierellomycota; Mortierellomycetes; Mortierellales; Mortierellaceae. The record is from RNAcentral.